GGCGAACGGGUGAGUAACACGUGGGUAAUCUGCCCUGCACUCUGGGAUAAGCCUGGUAAACUGGGUCUAAUACUGGAUAUGACCUUUCUCCUUAUGGGGUUUGGUGGAAAGUUUUUCGGUGUAGGAUGAGCCCGCGGCCUAUCAGCUUGUUGGUGGGGUGAUGGCCUACCAAGGCGACGACGGGUAGCCGGCCUGAGAGGGUGAUCGGCCACAUUGGGACUGAGAUACGGCCCAG
RNAcentral lists this ribosomal RNA (235 nucleotides) under uncultured Actinomycetales bacterium. Its description in RNAcentral is "partial 16S ribosomal RNA". It matches the Rfam family "Bacterial small subunit ribosomal RNA", at positions 97 to 334 of the family's 1533-position model. Lineage: Bacteria; Bacillati; Actinomycetota; Actinomycetes; Actinomycetales. The record is from RNAcentral.